GCUGAUCACAUCACACUAUGUUUAUUCUCUACUAGAGAGAGCUAUACAAAACCAUUCAGUUCAACCAAUUUGAGCAGAAUUAUUACACUAUUCGUAAUGAAGACCGGUGUGAUCAUGGUUGUUGGGCUGAUUUUCAUCAACUUAUGCACCUGCAUGCCAAGACAUGUGGCAAACCAUGGAUGUCACGAUACAACUGUGCCACAGAAGGAAAUGCGCAGUCUGAUGUCUGGCACUGAUGGCAGGAACGGGCCUCCGAGCAACGAUCACCAGUGCCCACUUGGGACCUACCCUAAUUGCCAAGGGAUGUCCCAGAAUACCCAAGAAGCAGCUCAAGCUGUUGGAGGAAACUAAGGCAAACUGAGAGAUUGUGAGUAUGGAAUGAAUACCC
Molecule: long non-coding RNA, 388 nt
Organism: Triticum dicoccoides
Lineage: Eukaryota; Viridiplantae; Streptophyta; Magnoliopsida; Poales; Poaceae
Exons: 2
Source: RefSeq, a predicted model, not a curated record